GGCCUUGACAUGCAGAGAACUUUCCAGAGAUGGAUUGGUGCCUUCGGGAACUCUGACACAGGUGCUGCAUGGCUGUCGUCAGCUCGUGUCGUGAGAUGGUGGGUUAAGUCCCGUAACGAGCGCAACCUUGUCCUUAGUUACCAGCACGUUAUGGUGGGCACUCUAAGGAGACUGCCGGUGACAAACCGGAAGGAAGGUGGGGAUGACGUCAAGUCAUCAUGGCCCUUAUGUCCUGGGCUACACACGUGCUACAAUGGCCGGUACAGAGCGCAGCGAAGCCGCGAGGUGGAGCGAAUCGACAAAAAGCCGGUCUCAGUACGGAUUGGAGUCUGAAACCCGACUCCAUGAGGUUGGAAUCGCUAGUAAUCGCGCAUCAGCAUGGCGCGGUGAAUACGUUCCCGGGCCUU
This 407-nucleotide ribosomal RNA is filed under the name uncultured Pseudomonas sp. Its description in RNAcentral is "bacterial SSU rRNA". It matches the Rfam family "Bacterial small subunit ribosomal RNA", at positions 977 to 1382 of the family's 1533-position model. The record is from RNAcentral. Lineage: Bacteria; Pseudomonadati; Pseudomonadota; Gammaproteobacteria; Pseudomonadales; Pseudomonadaceae.